Molecule: ribosomal RNA, 169 nt
Filed under: Fistularia corneta
Lineage: Eukaryota; Metazoa; Chordata; Actinopteri; Syngnathiformes; Fistulariidae
Description: partial small subunit ribosomal RNA
Source: RNAcentral
CACCGCGGUUAUACGAGAGGCCCAGGUCGAUAGCCUACGGCGUAAAGAGUGGUUAAGACACGCAAUUAAUUAAAGCCGAAUGCCCCCAAAGCUGUUAUACGCUUCCGGAGGUAAGAAGAACCACCACGAAAGUGGCUUUAUAUAAUCUGAACCCACGAAAGCUAGGGAA